CCUACGGGUGGCAGCAGUGGGGGAUAUUGCACAAUGGGGGAAACCCUGAUGCAGCGACGCCGCGUGUGGGAAGACGGUCCUCUGGAUUGUAAACCACUGUCCCCAGGGACGAAGAUGCCGGUACCUGGGGAGGAAGCUCCGGCUAACUACGUCCCAGCAGCCGCGGUAAUACGUAGGGAGCAAGCGUUGUCCGGAAUUACUGGGGGUAAAGGGAGCGUAGGGGGGAUGGCAAGUUGGGUUUUAAACCUACCGGCUCAACUGGUAGUCGCACUCAAAACUGCUAUUCUUGAGUGAAGUAGAGGCAGGUGGAAUUCCUAGUGUAGCGGUGAAAUGCGUAGAUAUUAGGAGGAACACCAGUGGCGAAGGCGGCCUGCUGGGCUUUUACUGACGCUGAGGCUCGAAAGUGUGGGGAGCAAACAGGAUUAGAUACCCGUGUAGUC
This 440-nucleotide ribosomal RNA is filed under the name uncultured bacterium. RNAcentral's name for it is "partial 16S ribosomal RNA". It matches the Rfam family "Bacterial small subunit ribosomal RNA", at positions 338 to 795 of the family's 1533-position model. The record is from RNAcentral.